RNAcentral lists this ribosomal RNA (234 nucleotides) under uncultured bacterium. RNAcentral describes it as "partial 16S ribosomal RNA". It matches the Rfam family "Bacterial small subunit ribosomal RNA", at positions 118 to 351 of the family's 1533-position model. The record is from RNAcentral.
UGAGUAACCUGCCCUUAACUCUGGGAUAAGCCUGGGAAACUGGGUUUAAUACCGGAUAUGACUCCUCAUCGCAUGGUGGGGGGUGGAAAGCUUUAUUGUGGUUUUGGAUGGACUCGCGGCCUAUCAGCUUGUUGGUGAGGUAAUGGCUCACCAAGGCGACGACGGGUAGCCGGCCUGAGAGGGUGACCGGCCACACUGGGACUGAGACACGGCCCAGACUCCUACGGGAGGCAG